This 1320-nucleotide long non-coding RNA is filed under the name Olea europaea subsp. europaea. The record is from RNAcentral. Lineage: Eukaryota; Viridiplantae; Streptophyta; Magnoliopsida; Lamiales; Oleaceae.
CGGGCCUGGUCUCUGGCUCUCUCUCCUCAAUCCUCCAAAAAUCUCAAAUGCCUCUCAGAUGAAAAUCCUCAGCAAUCUUAACAACCUUGUUGAACCCAUCCUGCAUGGACUCUUCCACAAGCUUCUGCUCAUUAGCCUUCACUUUGGUAAGGCCAUACUCGACGAGAGCCAAUUUUGUCUCGAUAUUCUCUAGUCGAUUAAGAAGUAAAGCCUUUAACUUUUCACCUAAUCCAGAUCUCAGGAGAGAGCAAAUUGAUCAUUCUUAACAAACUGAAGCACCUCUUUGAAGCGUAAAAGCUUGAUAUCGAUUCUAGCAACAUAAGUAGUAUGGCUUUUUCUAGUGUGCUCCAAAUCCUCAUAGACUUUGGUAAUAUUAGCUACUAAAAGAGCUUCCUAUCAGCCAAAGCCUUAGAACUUUUGCUUAUCUAUUCAUAUCUUCUCAUCUCCUUCUUAACUUCUCCUAACAUCCUUCGGAAAGCUCUUGUUGCUUUUCUAAAGAGUCUAACUUUUGUCCAAUUUAUAAGCUCAUAGGAUGUAGACCUCGUACUCUGCCUACUAAUCAUGUUGAAAGACAGCAGCUCACGAGAAUUGAGCACCAACUUGAUUAUCCCUUUGCUUUGUAGUCAUAUUCUCUACAAAUUUUUUCCAGGUGGAGCUAAAAUAAAAAAAAAGUAUAUCUAGCUACCCCAGAGACAAAAUCAUGAAUCAAUGAUAAAGCUUUGGGGUAUAGUUCCCAACUAUGGUGGGCAUUAAAUAAAGCCUAGGAAUCUACAGUAUGUUCAAAUCCCUUCGACAUUUUUCUCUCUCUCUUCGUAGGAUUUCUUGUCAAAAAUCGGAGAUUGGGACCUAAAUACAAGCGAACUUCCUGCCUUUUUUUCAUGGCAUCAAGAUUAACAUAACCCCCAUUUAUCACGAAUAAGGAAAAUACUCGUUUUCUAUCUACAGUAUUAGAAACAAAAGAUUCAUAAAGAAAAAGGGACUGAAAAUCCUAUAUUUGGCAAAGAUUCAUAAAAAGCUACAUAACUAUAAGAUGAAAGGUUUAAAGCGAUUUGGGGCACAACAAAGUUACAAUCUCAUUCUGCCUAGUGAAGAUGAAAGAAGUUCCCAAAAUCGCUCACUUCCUCAGAACAUGCGUACUAGACUAACCUUUCUAACCCGAAUGCUUCAACGAAGUCUUUAACCCUAAGUUGGGAAUAGACACCCAACGUAACCCUAGAGGUUACAAAGGAAGUUUUUCGAUUAACUCAACUUCAAAGUUCUGAACUUCUUUAAAGAAAAACUAUCAGGCCAAGGUCAUCGUCAAAGCAAGAAUGUCCUAAG